Molecule: ribosomal RNA, 872 nt
Filed under: uncultured bacterium
Lineage: Bacteria
Description: bacterial SSU rRNA
Rfam family: Bacterial small subunit ribosomal RNA
Source: RNAcentral
UUAGUAAUGGAUAGGUAACGUACCUCAUGCACCGGGAUAGCGUCAGUAGCUUCGGCUACUUUCCGAAAGGGGCGGUAAUACCGGAUAAUAUCAUGGUUCCACAGGCAUUAUGAUCAAAGAUUUAUCGGCGUGAGAGCGGCCUAUCUCCUAUCAGCUUGUUGGUGAGGUAAAAGCUCACCAAGGCUAUGACGGGUAGCGGGACUGAGAGGUUGGCCCGCAACAUCGGGACUGAGACACUGCCCGGACCUCCACGGAGGGCUGCAGUAACGAAUAUUGCGCAAUGGGCGAAAGCCUGACGCAGCGACGCCGCGUGUAGGAGGAAGUCUUUCGGGAUGUAAACUACUGUCAGGGGUUAGAAAGUCCCGAUCCGUCGGGAUUGAUCAGCCCCAGAGGAAGUCACGGCUAACUUCGUGCCAGCAGCCGCGGUAAGACGAAGGUGGCAAGCGUUGUUCGGUAUUACUGGGCUUAAAGCGUGUGUAGGCGGAAAGGUAAGCGUUGCGUGAAAUCCCCCGGCUUAACCGGGGAACUGCGCAACGAACUGCUUUUCUUGAGGCAAGUAGGGGCGCAUGGAACUCUUGGUGGAGCGGUGGAAUGCGUAGAUAUCAAGAGGAACGCCAGUGGAGAAGUCGGUGCGCUGGGCUUGUUCUGACGCUGAGACACGAAAGCGUGGGGAGCGAACGGGAUUAGAUACCCCGGUAGUCCACGCCGUAAACGAUGCCUACUAGGUUGUGAAAGUUCUGACACUGGCACAGCCGAAGCAAAAGUGUUAAGUAGGCCGCCUGGGGAGUACGGUCGCAAGGCUAAAACUCAAAGGAAUUGACGGGGGCUCACACAAGCGGUGGAGCAUGUGGAUCAAUUCGAAGCAACGCGUA